Molecule: long non-coding RNA, 849 nt
Filed under: Homo sapiens (human)
Lineage: Eukaryota; Metazoa; Chordata; Mammalia; Primates; Hominidae
Description: HSALNT0169258
Source: RNAcentral
GGCAUAAGGUAUUUCCAGCUAAGGGCAGUGCUCAGCGACAUUUGAUGUCUGAGUCACUGAUGACCUUUGCUCUUCAGAUUUCCAGCUUGUUGGCUGCUUCAUGGGCUGGGCCCAAGGGGCUCAGUUACUGACACCAUCAGGAAAGGGCUCUCAGGGAAACAUGCUGAAAGCUAUUUCCAUUUAUUUGUAUUUGCUGCCUUUGACUUUGGACAGUAGCUCAGCUCCUGGGAGAUCUGUGGGGGAUGUAUGUGUUGAGAGUUCUGGGGGUGAGCUGAAGGCCCCGGAUCCUUGAACUAGACCCUGCAGAAAGCGAUGGAUUCAGCCAAGGCCAGGGUUCUGCCUAGGGGCUGAUGGGAGCGUGGCAUCCUGGGACGCUUCCCCAGAGUGGCCACUAGAGGGGGCCCGCUCUCAGCUGCACUCUAGAAGUGAUACCUGGAGGGCAUCCCUAGGUUGGCCCAUGGUGGAGCAGGUGGGAUGUCAAGCUGGUCCAGGGUAAUAAUGUCUUUCAAACUUGUUAAUUGAAAUCUUACAUGGGGUCCCACAUUCCAGGGACAGUUAGCAGGGAAAACUUUGGGGUGGAGGGGAAGGAGCAGCGUAGAGAGAGGAAAUCUGUCCAUUUGUACACAGACUUCUGCUCAGCCCCUCUCCGCCCCCAUGUUCUUGGCACCGGGCUAGGAGGGAAGCCAUGGACCAGACUCGAGGGGGAGUGGAGAGCAACAUGAUGGUCGGGGAAGAGAGAAGGUGCACAGCAGCUGUGUGUGCACAGCCAUGCGUGGGUGCCUGGAUGAGCCUCUGUCACUGCCCCGGAGGGGAGCUCAGCCUGAUGGGUGGGCUGCACCUCCAGCUGCC